Long non-coding RNA from Numida meleagris (helmeted guineafowl), 4679 nucleotides. RefSeq lists it as uncharacterized. Lineage: Eukaryota; Metazoa; Chordata; Aves; Galliformes; Numididae. The record is from RefSeq and is a predicted model, not a curated record. The transcript has 4 exons.
UCCCCCACAGCCCAGUUUGCCAUGAGGUACCCCCAGGGAUGAAUGAGCCCCUUACAGCUGGGAGACAGGUGGAGCCUCUGCAAAUGGUGGGGGUGGGUGGUAUAAAUGAGGGGCAGCCUCACAUUUGGGGAUGGCUGGUGGGGGUGUGUGGUUGCACCAAAGUCCCUAGCCUCAUGGGAAGCUCUGAAAGGCAACACGACCUGCAGAGAAGCAUUCUCCAGCUGACUGAAGGAGAAACCAGCACGGUGUCUUCUUGGGUACUGCAAAUGAAUUCUGAUGAAAAUCACACAAUUAUUUUUCCUGCUGGGGACAAACUUCUGCAGUGGCAGUAGUUCAUUCAUUGAUGUUGGACCUGAUGGACCCUUCAGCAUGUGCAGAGCUUGAAUGGAGAACGCUGUACUUGGUCUGUGCUGAGUCCAACCCAACAUCCCCAUGGCCAUCUUGGCCAGCUCUCAGAAGGGGAAUCUUUUAUAGACAAAUGUAUAUGGCCAUGCAGUGUUAGUUACAGCUUCCUUAAAGAUGCAGAUAUACAGCAGCUUUGCUCUGGCUGCAUGCCUACCAAUGGGAAACCCUCCCCAGAACCCAGCCUGGUUGGGACAAGCGUGUUUCAUGGGGCUGUUUUGGAGAGCCCCUUUGAGUGACUUCCUCCCCUGCAGUACUGCACAGCUGUAAGGAAGCUGUGAUGGCUUUGAGGAAGGAGACUGGGUUCUGCAGCUGAUGUUCUCCUGCUUGCCCACCUGCAUCCUACUCCAUCUCCUGCAUACGGAGGGCCUUUGUGCUGCUGUAGGAGCAGCUGCUGUGCACAAAGGUCUGUGGAUGAACAAAGCUAAGCACAAAAAAAUGAUUUAUUACAGCUUUAUGAUACAUUUUUUUUUUUUUUUUUUUGUAGAUAGUAAGGAAAUAUGGGAAGACUGGAGGGAAAAAUCAGUUUGGUUUGGGGAAGCUAUCUUCUCAAGCUGUUCUUGGGCAGUCACUCAGGGUGUGCUGUUGGCUUGUGUUGUGGCAGGGGGUUCUCAUGCAGGGGCAGGGCUCACCCAGUGACAACCCCUCCAGGGCACCCCGAGCCAUCUGAGAUGCUUCCCAUACCACAGAACAGCUGGGGUUGAGCACAUGCCCUGGUAUUCCUAGAAAUCCUCCAGAAAAGCAUUCCUGAAGGAGCGGGACCCCGCGUCCCACGGAUGUCACUGUGGCAGUGAUGGCACGGGAAGGGGACGUCAGAGCUGGCACCUCAGUGACUUCAAAGGCAGGAGCUGAGAGGCUUCUCAGAGCCUCUGCUUUGUUAUUCAUCUUCCCCAGAGCUCAUAAAUUAUCAACAAACAAUCUCAGCGAUCAAGCCGGUGAGGAGGACUGGGUAAUUAUGUUUGUGGUUCAAAAUGAGGGUUGUCAAUUUUAAUUAGGGAAAGCUGAGGGCGCGGGGAAUUUUUAAUGUUACCACCUGAACUCUCCAGUGCUGCUCAGGAAAUAAUUGUAAAUGAAAAAUUAAACAGGGCUUGGUAGGCAUUGCAGAGGGCAUUCCUUUUCCUCCUGUUUUAUUUUCCUUUCUUUGAGGCAGAUUGGGAUCUGGCUAUACAAUGGCCAACAGGUUUGCUGUCAGUACGAGGAGGGGAAGCUGGGAGUGGGCAUGAGGCACCUUGCUCCUGCAUCGUGCAGUGGUGGUGGGGGCACCAGUGCUCAUCCUCCCGUGGCGUGCUGGUGCCAUCAAACCUUCUUGUGCUAAAACCAGGGCAGAGUCGUCCCUGAAUGUCACCGGCAGCCGGAGGGGCUGUCUGUGUGACUGCUGCAUCUGAGCCGGCAAAUGUCAGCUCAUCGCAGGGAGUGGGGGUUAAGUUUUAAUCAGCAGGCCAGCGUCCUCUCCUAAUUUAUUUUCCUUCGUUCAGAGAGGAUUUGCUGGGCUGCGUGUGAACCUGCGAAUAUUUAUAGUGAGAAUUCUUUUUCUGCUGCUCCCGUGGUUAACAAGUUUGGUGCUUCCCAAGGAUGCACACAAUAGGGUCAGACCUGGAAUGGCCCCAUCCCAUCCUGGCACUGCCCUUUGGGCACCAGCAGAGCAGUGCAGGCAUGGCCUUGGCUCAUCUGCAGGCUGCUAGGACAGGGUGCUCUUCCAAGUAUGCUUGGUACCAGCACAACCUCAUCCAAAAUUUUCUCAAGACAGCAGAAAGUCAUUUUAAUGGGCUUAGAUGAGGUCCAAAGCGAGUCAACUGGAGCAAAUGAACUCCCAUUCACUAGUACAGUCUUAUAAUAGCCAGGCUGCAGAAAAGUGUUUGGCAAUUGUCAUUGUUAAGUCAUAAAGUAUAAUGAAAAAAGAACGCAAUUAUUUUUAAUACUAUGCACAUCCAUUAUGGUAAGAAUAUGCUGAGUCUCUGGUUGGAAAUACUUCAGGUGGCUCGGAUGAUGCUGGUGGGGGAGAGGAGAUCGCUUACAGCAGUCUGUGGCUGGAUGGGAUCACAGCCCUCUGUAGGGUCUGGUGAUGACCGAAAUAAGCCAGGGUCAGCUGCUGAGAGGUGGUCUCGGUUGCCUGUCAGCAUUGUGGCACGUGGAGUAGUUCUCAGUGGGUGACUCAAAGGGCUGAUUCCCACCCCAUAAAGCCAGAGGGUUUGUCCCUGUGCGCACCUGCAGAACCUCGCUGUGUGGGGCUCCAGGUGAGUGCCAACAUGGAUGGGCGCCUUCUGAAAUGACAGGAAGAAACACAGGAAGCUGUGAGCCCAAUGGUGUGGGCACGGAUUUCUCUUGGAUAUUCUCUCUGCGAUCCUAAAAAGCAGGAAAGCAUUUGUGGUCUGUGGGCACAGCUCUGGCAGGGUGACCCAAACCUCAGUGAUGCGUCAUCUGAAGUCAGACCCCAGAGAAAACCACCUCCUUCCUUCUAGAAACUUCAGUGUCUCUCACUGCAGUUCCUGAUUUGCAGCCAUGCCUGAGGAAUGGGGAUAUUCAUAUUGAGGAAAUAUGCAGCCAGCCUGAAUCACUGCUGUGAGUGUCCUCCCUACUGCAGUUUCUGUGCCAGCAGUUUGGCUGUUUGACGCUGCGCAGUCUGGAAAGAGCCUUGCACGUGUGAAGCAUGCUCCUGGGAGCACCACAUUUGUAGCUGCUGCUGUAAAUUGCAGCUGAAUGUGCUUCGAGCUUUGCUGCGAUUUGGGGAUAGCAGGUCUGGCAACAAAGCCACUUGGCCCCAAGGUUUGGAGGCAGGAGAACCGCAUUGCAGAUCCAUCUUGGGGGCACAAUGAACACCUGGUGCCUUGGCUCCUCUUCUCCUAGCUCAAUACAACCACGCCAGCUCCUUGUUCUGGAUGAUCUGUCCUGCAGGUUGUUUGGUGCCUCUGGUGAUUUUGCUCCAGAAUCCUUGGUUCAGUGCCUGGCAUCACCAGCAGAGCAGACUGCGCCAUCGUUCAGCAGAGAGUGUGCAAGUGCCACUGGGUGCAGGUGGGCUGGGGUUGGGAACUGAAAUGUGCUCUCAGAGGAGGAAGAGGCUGCAGACAUGUUCAUCAGCUCCUGUGUCUCCAGCAGGCUGGAGGAGCGCUAAAGCGCAUUUAAAGCAACAGCUUAAUUAAAUGGUGCUGCAGUUCUCACCUUGCCUCAGAAAACUUGGCUUAUUGCCUCUAGCCCCAUGUUCUGAAAGGGAAGAACAGGCAUGCACAUAGCCAAAAAUUUAGGUUGCUGGCCAAAAGCAUCCCAAAACACAGAGCAUCUGGCUUGACCUCCUCACUCUGCUUCUGCUGCUGGCCGCUUCUCCAAGUGCCUCUGCUCUCUGCAAUUCCUUGGCAUUGUCUGUGGAAGGAGGACACAAGGCAGAGGCUGCUUUGCAAAAAGAGGCAGCUGCUAUCCUCUCUUGCCCUGUCGGUCACCCUGCUGUGUGAGGAUGCUGUGCUGCUUGCAAGGGAUGUCCAGCUGUGAGCAUCCACUGGGACUAGUGAACAAUGCUGGGCAGCCACACUUCAGCAACAUCCUUUGUUGACUUUUGGUCCUUGCUACAGAGCUAUUCCCAAAGAUGAGCGUAGAGAACCAUGAGCGUUUUCUCCCCCUGUCUGUUUGCAUUUGUGGGAUCUGACCUACUUUUUUUAAUUGCGGCACAACAGCCUCCCUUGUUUUCCAACUUGCAGGAGCAGCUGUGCCUUGUGCUGCAAUAAGCUGCACCUUAGCUAAUCUGCCCCGAGGAAGGAAGGCAGUUAUUGGGGAGGCUGAUGGCACUGCUCAUGUGGUGACCUUCCUCUCCUCCAUGGAUCCCACAGCCACGAGUAUCCAUGUGCCAAUGGCCAUAGCUGUCCCCAGGGGCGCAUCUGUGUUUGCAGAGAUGAGGCCACUUCUACACCAUGGUUUGCAAGGGGGCACAGCUGGGAGCAUCCCCACAGAGACCUUUUCCUUUCCUACUGCCCAUGUGCUGGCUGAGGAGCAGCCGCUGAGAGCCAGGGAGAGGCAGCCGGGAUGUGCCAUGGGCUUUGGGAGGACAACGUUCCAACAGCAGGGAAACAGUAAUGUACGCUCCUUCCCCUUGUUAGUAUUUCUUCCAAAGACGCUGCAGCUAUCUGAGAUGUUCUUACACAACAGCAAGUCGUAAGUGAUGGCUUUCUUUGAGCAACACAGACUGGGAACUCAGUUAGAUGCAUCAAAUUAACUGUCAAAAUAAUCUUCCAGGAUGCGAUGAACCCAAAGAUUAAGCAGCAUGUUAUUCUUUUUUUGUGCUUUUUUUUUUA